RNAcentral lists this transfer RNA (76 nucleotides) under Puniceicoccales bacterium. RNAcentral describes it as "tRNA-Arg". It matches the Rfam family "tRNA". Rfam says of the family: Transfer RNA (tRNA) molecules are approximately 80 nucleotides in length. Their secondary structure includes four short double-helical elements and three loops (D, anti-codon, and T loops). Further hydrogen bonds mediate the characteristic L-shaped molecular structure. tRNAs have two regions of fundamental functional importance: the anti-codon, which is responsible for specific mRNA codon recognition, and the 3' end, to which the tRNAs corresponding amino acid is attached (by aminoacyl-tRNA synthetases). tRNAs cope with the degeneracy of the genetic code in two manners: having more than one tRNA (with a specific anti-codon) for a particular amino acid; and 'wobble' base-pairing, i.e. permitting non-standard base-pairing at the 3rd anti-codon position. Lineage: Bacteria; Pseudomonadati; Verrucomicrobiota; Opitutia; Puniceicoccales. The record is from RNAcentral.
GGGGGAGUAGCUCAGCGGAUAGAGCAGCGGCCUUCUAAGCCGAAGGUCGAGGGUUCGAGUCCCUCUUCCCCCGCCA